AUGGCAUUAUGGCGGGACGCAUGUGGUAAAUGGUUACAAUGGUGGCUCAUGGAGUUAAAAUUUUGUGUUCUGUACAGAUUUGAGAUGAUAGAAAUUCAAAAUAGGGGUCCUUUGCUACUGUUGGUUGUGUCCUUGCUUCUUGGAGAGGAGGGAGGGCAAAUGACUUUGAUGCCAGAAAUAGGGGAGGAACAUAAGGUCAAGUAUCCAUGUUGUUUGGUACCUUAUAGAAGAUGCAUUACGCAAUGGUCUCGGCAACUGCAGCGAGAUUUCACAGUCACGAUUUUUCCAUAUUGGUAUGGAUUCUAA
RNAcentral lists this ribosomal RNA (306 nucleotides) under Triticum aestivum (bread wheat). Its description in RNAcentral is "partial small subunit ribosomal RNA". Lineage: Eukaryota; Viridiplantae; Streptophyta; Magnoliopsida; Poales; Poaceae. The record is from RNAcentral.